GGUCAAGCUAAUUAGGGCUAAUGGU
RNAcentral lists this ribosomal RNA (25 nucleotides) under Kalymmatonema desertorum EM3-HA25. RNAcentral describes it as "partial 23S ribosomal RNA". Lineage: Bacteria; Bacillati; Cyanobacteriota; Cyanophyceae; Nostocales; Scytonemataceae. RNAcentral also lists the same sequence under 2 other names. The record is from RNAcentral.